RNAcentral lists this ribosomal RNA (253 nucleotides) under uncultured bacterium. RNAcentral's name for it is "partial 16S ribosomal RNA". It matches the Rfam family "Bacterial small subunit ribosomal RNA", at positions 524 to 776 of the family's 1533-position model. The record is from RNAcentral.
UACGUAGGGUGCAAGCGUUGUCCGGAAUUAUUGGGCGUAAAGAGCUCGUAGGCGGUCUGUUGCGUCGGCUGUGAAAACCCGGGGCUCAACCCCGGGCCUGCAGCCGAUACGGGCAGACUAGAGUUCGGCAGGGGAGACUGGAAUUCCUGGUGUAGCGGUGAAAUGCGCAGAUAUCAGGAGGAACACCGGUGGCGAAGGCGGGUCUCUGGGCCGAAACUGACGCUGAGGCACGAAAGCGUGGGGAGCAAACAGG